AUAAUGUUGCACUUAUAACUCUCCAGGAGCUUGAUGAUGGAAAAGUUCUUCUCCGGUUAGCACAUUUAUAUCAGAUUGGAGAGGACAAGGAUCUUUCUGUGAUGACAAGCGUAGAACUGAAGAAGUUAUUUCAUGGCAAGAAGAUUCACAAAGUGGCAGAAAUGAGCUUAUCUGCCAAUCAACGAAGAACAGAGAUGGAAAAGAAGAGACUCGUCUGGAAAGCUGAAGGCUUAGAAAGACAAGAAGCAGUGGCAAGGGGCGGACCAGUUGAUCCUGCAGAACUGGUGGUGGAACUUGCCCCGAUGGAAAUCCGCACCUUUGUUAUUGAUUUUGAUCACACAUCCCACCAUGUAUUUAAUGUCUAAUGACAAUGACAUGUUCCUGAGGAAGUUCUUGCUAAUUUGGGCGUGCAUUGUGCUUCAGAUCUCAGAUAUUAUUUUGAUAUGAUAUCUAUACUCUUGCGCCUUGGUCAUAGAGACAAGUUGCUUAUC
RNAcentral lists this unclassified non-coding RNA (491 nucleotides) under Hevea brasiliensis (rubber tree). Lineage: Eukaryota; Viridiplantae; Streptophyta; Magnoliopsida; Malpighiales; Euphorbiaceae. The record is from RNAcentral.